AAUUGAUAUGAUGAUGAGAUUAUAUCCCUAUUGGGUUGAUUGGCUGCCAUGAUGGCCUCAUCUGUAUUUAGCUCUAUCUGAUCAUGU
Non-coding RNA from Brachypodium distachyon (stiff brome), 87 nucleotides. NCBI's taxonomy places the organism in Eukaryota, Viridiplantae, Streptophyta, Magnoliopsida, Poales, Poaceae. The record is from Rfam.